AGGGUUAUACCUCAGUGGUAGAGUGCAUGCUUAGCAUGCACAAAGUCCUGGGUUCAGUCCCCAGUACCUCCU
RNAcentral lists this transfer RNA (72 nucleotides) under Camelus bactrianus (Bactrian camel). It matches the Rfam family "tRNA". From Rfam's summary of the family: Transfer RNA (tRNA) molecules are approximately 80 nucleotides in length. Their secondary structure includes four short double-helical elements and three loops (D, anti-codon, and T loops). Further hydrogen bonds mediate the characteristic L-shaped molecular structure. tRNAs have two regions of fundamental functional importance: the anti-codon, which is responsible for specific mRNA codon recognition, and the 3' end, to which the tRNAs corresponding amino acid is attached (by aminoacyl-tRNA synthetases). tRNAs cope with the degeneracy of the genetic code in two manners: having more than one tRNA (with a specific anti-codon) for a particular amino acid; and 'wobble' base-pairing, i.e. permitting non-standard base-pairing at the 3rd anti-codon position. Lineage: Eukaryota; Metazoa; Chordata; Mammalia; Artiodactyla; Camelidae. RNAcentral also lists the same sequence under 1 other name. The record is from Rfam by way of RNAcentral.